This 425-nucleotide long non-coding RNA is filed under the name Rattus norvegicus (Norway rat). RNAcentral's name for it is "partial HafT26 cufflinks 00006202". Lineage: Eukaryota; Metazoa; Chordata; Mammalia; Rodentia; Muridae. The record is from RNAcentral.
CUCACCUGCAUCCAUGGGGAGUUCAAGAUUUUAAAGUUUUCAUUGAGUUUCUCCAUCAAGUUAAGGAAAUUCUCAUCUUUAUAAUCAAAACGAUUAUGGAAAACAACUGAGCAGAUCACGUUGGAGGGAGCACAGCUCAGGAUGAAUGUGGGAUCACAGAGUGAGCCAUUUGUUUUUCUUAGCUCUUCCACAAGACAGGAGGCUUCCUCUUGAAUGCGAUCCUCGAUGCUCCUCUUCCCCAUCCCAAAAUUUCUCAAGGUCAUAAGUGAGAAAUGCCGAAGCUCCUUCCAUUUUGUUCCAUUGCUGAAAAUGACCCCAAGGCCAUUAUUCAUUCUUUCAACAAUUGGGAAACUACCCCUCCCAGAAAACUCCUCUCCAAGAUCAUCCAGGGCUUCCUUUACUGCUUCAUAUCCAUGUACCACCAC